Molecule: ribosomal RNA, 497 nt
Filed under: uncultured bacterium
Lineage: Bacteria
Description: partial 16S ribosomal RNA
Rfam family: Bacterial small subunit ribosomal RNA
Source: RNAcentral
GAUGAACGCUGGCGGCGUGCCUAAUACAUGCAAGUCGAGCGAACAGACGAGGAGCUUGCUCCUCUGACGUUAGCGGCGGACGGGUGAGUAACACGUGGAUAACCUACCUAUAAGACUGGGAUAAUUUCGGGAAACCGGAGCUAAUACCGGAUAAUAUAUUGAACCGCAUGGUUCAAUAGUGAAAGAUGGUUUUGCUGUCACUUAUCGAUGGAUCCGCGCCGCAUUAGCUAGUUGGUAAGGUAACGGCUUACCAAGGCAACGAUGCGUAGCCGACCUGAGAGGGUGAUCGGCCACACUGGAACUGAGACACGGUCCAGACUCCUACGGGAGGCAGCAGUAGGGAAUCUUCCGCAAUGGGCGAAAGCUUGACGGAGCAACGCCGCGUGAGUGAUGAAGGUCUUCGGAUCGUAAAACUCUGUUAUUAGGGAAGAACAAAUGUGUAAGUAACUAUGCACGUCUUGACGGUACCUAAUCAGAAAGCCACGGCUAACUACGUG